Molecule: unclassified non-coding RNA, 1354 nt
Filed under: uncultured fungus
Lineage: Eukaryota; Fungi
Description: sequence contains 18S rRNA gene, ITS1, 5.8S rRNA gene, ITS2, 28S rRNA gene
Source: RNAcentral
GCUUGGCCGAGUACUCGGUCAGGCUGCUUUUGGCCAUGACCGGAUUCUAGAGACAAUGCGGGGAACCCCGACAUGACAGCAUCGAGAAUUCUCGCCGGCGCGAGCGGCUAUUCGUUCAAGGAGUGGAAGGGCGCGUUCUAUCCCGACGCGCUCAAGGCCGAAGAGAUGCUCGCGUUCUACGCGUCGCGGUUACCGACGGUCGAGAUCAACAACACGUUCUACCGGAUGACGAAGACGUCCGUGCUCGAAUCGUGGGCAAGCCAGGCGCCCGCGGGGUUCCGCUUUGCCAUCAAGGCGUCGCGCCGGAUCACGCACAUCGCGCGACUCAAGACGGAAUCGGCCGCGGAGCCCGUCGGCUACCUGUAUCGCGGCCUGGCGGCGCUGGGGGAGAAGCGCGGUCCCGUGCUGUUCCAGCUGCCGCCGAACCUCAAGAAGGACCUGCCGCGGCUGGAGGCGUUUCUCGGCCUUCUGCCCGACGAUCAUCGUGCCGCGUUCGAGUUCCGCAACGACACGUGGUUCGCCGACGACGUCUACGCCGCGCUCAGGGACGCCGGCGCGUCGCUGUGCCUGUCCGAGCGCGAGGACAACGCGCCGCCGCCGCUGGUCGAGACGGCGCCGUGGGGCUACGUCCGGCUGCGGCUCGAAACGUACACGGAUGCCGAUCUGACGGCGUGGGCGCGGCGCCUCGAAGCGACGUCGUGGCGGCAGAUCCAUGUCUAUUUCAUGCACGAGCCGACGGCGCCGGCCUACGCCAAGGCUUUGAUGGAAUUCGCUUCCGGUUAGCCACAACGGGCGCCGCCGGGGGUCGGCGACGGGCACCUUCCUGCGAUAUUUUUCGAGGAACCUGUCGAAUUCAAAGGCGUCCGAUCGAUUACAGGGCAGCAAGCCUCCGUUCGGAGGCGUGACGAGGAGAACGACAUGCGAUUCGCCGUAUUGGUCAAGGCCACGAAGGAGUCCGAAGCGGGCGUGCUGCCGAGCACGGAAAUGCUGACGCAGAUGGGCAAGUUCAACGAGGAGCUCGUCAAGGCCGGGGUGAUGCUCGCCGGCGAGGGGCUGCACGCGAGCUCGAAGGGCUCGCGCGUCCGCUUUUCGGGCGGCAAGCCCACGGUGAUCGACGGGCCGUUCGCCGAAACGAAGGAGCUCGUCGCGGGCUUCUGGAUCUGGAAAGUCAAGUCAAAGCAGGAAGCGGUCGACUGGCUGAAGCGCGCGCCGUUCGAGAACGAGGAGGUCGAGCUGCGGCAGAUCUUCGAGGCGGAGGACUUUGGCGCCGAUUUCACGCCGGAGUUGCGCGCACAGGAAGAGCGGCUGCGCGCGGAAGUCGCCGCCAAUCAAUAGCGUCGCAGCACCAAAUUCA